This 2263-nucleotide ribosomal RNA is filed under the name human oral metagenome. RNAcentral's name for it is "bacterial LSU rRNA". It matches the Rfam family "Bacterial large subunit ribosomal RNA", at positions 568 to 2820 of the family's 2925-position model. The record is from RNAcentral.
AAGCAGAUAGAGUCUUAAGAGAGAUGAUAUCGUACUUUUUGUAGAACGGGCCAGCGAGUUAUGGUGUGCGGCAAGGUUAAGUAAUGAAGUUACGGAGCCGUAGGGAAACCGAGUCUGAAUAGGGCGAAAUAGUCGUAUGCCAUAGACCCGAAACCAGGUGAUCUAUCCAUGAGCAGGUUGAAGUGAAAGUAAAAUUUCAUGGAGGACCGAACCGGGUAGCGUUUAAAAGCUAUCGGAUGACUUGUGGAUAGGGGUGAAAAGCCAAUCGAACUUGGAGAUAGCUGGUUCUCCUCGAAAUAGCUUUAGGGCUAGCCUCAAUUUAGUUUACAGGGGGUAGAGCACUGAAUACCGUAGGGGUGUUAGACAUUACCGAAAGUUAUCAAACUGCGAAUACCUGAUAAAUGAUGAUUGGGAGUCAGACUAUGUGGGAUAAGCUUCAUAGUCAAAAGGGAAAGAGCCCAGACCACCAGCUAAGGUCCCUAAAUAUAGAUUAAGUGGUAAAGGAUGUUUUACUACUCAGACAACCAGGAUGUUGGCUUAGAAGCAGCCAUACAUUUAAAGAGUGCGUAAUAGCUCACUGGUCAAGUGGUAGAGCGCCGAAAAUGAACGGGGCUAAAAUCUAAUACCGAAGCUGUGGACUAAUUAAAUUAGUGGUAGAGGAGCAUUGUGUAAGGGGUGAAGCUAAGUUGUAAGACGAAGUGGACUUUACAGAAGAGAGAAUGCUGGCAUGAGUAGCGAAAAGGAGGGUGAGAAUCCCUCCCGUCGAAAGCCUAAGGAUUCCUGAGGAAGGCUCGUCCUCUCAGGGUAAGUCGGGACCUAAGCCCAGGCUGAAAAGCGUAAGCGAUGGACAACAGGUUGAGAUUCCUGUACUAUCUUCGAAUGUUUGAGAGAAGUACUGACGCAGGAGGAUAUGUUGAGCGUGUGAAUGGUAGAGCACGUCUAAGCAAGUAGAUAGAGAAUAGAGGCAAAUCCCUAUUCUUAAUAUCGAGAUGUGAUGGGGAGCGAAAAACAAGUAGUGAAGCAACAAAUUCCAAACUGCCAAGAAAAGGUACUAUUGAGUGAGAAGAUACCCGUACCAAAACCGACACAGGUAGGCAAGGAGAGAAUCCUAAGACGCGCGGAAGAACCUUUGUUAAGGAACUCGGCAAAAUGACCCCGUAACUUCGGGAGAAGGGGUACCAUUAGAUGUGAGAUACUUGCGUAUGGAGCAUAGAGUGGUCGCAGAGAAUAGGCCCAAGCAACUGUUUACCAAAAACACAAGUCUCUGCUAAAUCGAAAGAUGAAGUAUAGGGGCUGACACCUGCCCGGUGCUGGAAGGUUAAGGGGAAAUGUUAGAGCAAUCGAAGCAUAGAACUUAAGCCCCAGUAAACGGCGGCCGUAACUAUAACGGUCCUAAGGUAGCGAAAUUCCUUGUCGGGUAAGUUCCGACCCGCACGAAAGGUGUAAUGAUUUGGGCACUGUCUCAACAAAGGAUCCGGUGAAAUUGUAGUAGUCGUGAAGAUGCGACUUACCCACGAUAGGACGGAAAGACCCCGUGGAGCUUUACUGUAGGCUGGCAUUGGAAUUUGGUAUUAAAUGUACAGGAUAGGUGGGAGACUGAGAAACGAGAGCGCCAGUUUUCGUGGAGUCAAUGUUGGGAUACCACUCUUUUGAUACUAAAUUUCUAACUUGAUACUCUGAAGCGAGUAUAAGGACACUGUCAGUUGGGCAGUUUGACUGGGGCGGUCGCCUCCUAAAGAGUAACGGAGGCGUUCAAAGGUUCCCUCAGAAUGGAAGGAAAUCAUUCAAAGAGUGCAAAGGCAAAAGGGAGCUUAACUGCGACACCAACAAGUGGAGCAGAUAGGAAACUAGGACUUAGUGAUCCGGUGGUACCGAGUGGAAGGGCCAUCGCUCAACGGAUAAAAGCUACCCCGGGGAUAACAGGCUUAUCUCCCCCAAGAGUUCACAUCGACGGGGAGGUUUGGCACCUCGAUGUCGGCUCGUCUCAUCCUGGGGCUGGAGUAGGUCCCAAGGGUUGGGCUGUUCGCCCAUUAAAGAGGCACGCGAGCUGGGUUCAGAACGUCGUGAGACAGUUCGGUCCCUAUCCAUCGUGGGCGAAGGAAAUUUGAGAGGAGCUGUCCUUAGUACGAGAGGACCGGGAUGGACAGACCGCUGGUGUAUCAGUUAUCAUGCCAAUGGUAAUGCUGAAUAGCUAAGUCUGGAAGGGAUAAGUGCUGAAGGCAUCUAAGCACGAAGCCCCCCUCAAGAUGAGAUUUCCUGUUGC